GAUGAACGCUGGCGGCGUGCCUAAUACAUGCAAGUCGAGCGAACAGAUAAGGAGCUUGCUCCUUUGACGUUAGCGGCGGACGGGUGAGUAACACGUGGGUAACCUACCUAUAAGACUGGGAUAACUUCGGGAAACCGGAGCUAAUACCGGAUAAUAUUUCGAACCGCAUGGUUCGAUAGUGAAAGAUGGUUUUGCUAUCACUUAUAGAUGGACCCGCGCCGUAUUAGCUAGUUGGUAAGGUAACGGCUUACCAAGGCGACGAUACGUAGCCGACCUGAGAGGGUGAUCGGCCACAAUGGAACUGAGACACGGUCCAGACUCCUACGGGAGGCAGCAGUAGGGAAUCUUCCGCAAUGGGCGAAAGCCUGACGGAGCAACGCCGCGUGAGUGAUGAAGGUCUUCGGAUCGUAAAACUCUGUUAUUAGGGAAGAACAUACGUGUAGGUAACUGUGCACGUCUUGACGGUACCUAAUCAGAAAGCCACGGCUAACUACGUG
RNAcentral lists this ribosomal RNA (497 nucleotides) under uncultured bacterium. RNAcentral's name for it is "partial 16S ribosomal RNA". It matches the Rfam family "Bacterial small subunit ribosomal RNA", at positions 28 to 507 of the family's 1533-position model. The record is from RNAcentral.